RNAcentral lists this ribosomal RNA (277 nucleotides) under uncultured bacterium. RNAcentral describes it as "partial 16S ribosomal RNA". It matches the Rfam family "Bacterial small subunit ribosomal RNA", at positions 28 to 312 of the family's 1533-position model. The record is from RNAcentral.
GACAAACGCUGGCGGCGUGCCUAACACAUGCAAGUCGAACGGUCCCCUUCGGGGGAUAGUGGCGAACGGGUGAGUAACACGUAGGUGACCUGCCCUGUAGUGGGGAAUAACUGCACGAAAGGGUGGCUAAUACCGCAUGAGUUCUCCUGCGCGGGCAGGAGAAGAAAGCUCCGCAAGGGGCGCUACAGGAGGGGCCUGCGGCGGAUUAGCCAGUUGGCGGGGUAAAGGCCCACCAAGGCGACGACGGGUAGCCGGCCUGAGAGGGCGACCGGCCACA